Molecule: long non-coding RNA, 359 nt
Filed under: Hordeum vulgare
Lineage: Eukaryota; Viridiplantae; Streptophyta; Magnoliopsida; Poales; Poaceae
Description: long non-coding RNA (HVUL_LNC007860)
Source: RNAcentral
UUGCCUUUUGUCUCUGGCACGUUCUUCACAAUGAACAGAAUAGCCAGGGCUUGCCUUUUGUCUCUGGUGUAUUUGGCUGCAAUCGAUAAGUUUGAUGCCAUGUUAUCCAAAAGCAACACUUAUGCUCUAGAAGGUUCGACGCUGCUCUGUUUUUUUAGCCUGAAUUUCCCUACCAAGUUUUAUCAUGAAUACUUCAUUUCCUACAUCAGGUCCUUGAUGUUCGUUAUGUAUGGUUACCAGUGAGUAAAGUUUGACAGGUGUUAUCACCGAGAGAGGGUAAGUUGGCAUGGGAAGAAGAAGAACAUGAAGAAUAUGAAGAAGAAUAAGAAUAUGAAGAAUGUGAAGAAGAAGAAGAAGAA